CAAAUUUCCCUAAAAUCCCUAAGUUAUUUUUCCCAAAUCACUUUAUUUCUUCCCCAAUUUCCCCUAACUGAUCGAAAUCUCUAACUAUUAAAGAAACAAGCCAACAUAAAUUCUUGUUUCCCUCCAAAUUAUCAAAAUCAUUUAACUUUUUGUUUGAGCCUAAUUUUUGGCUGGAAAUUCUUCGCCUCUUUCUCUCCGCUGCCGCUUCAAAAGGGGAAAAUGCACCAAACUACCUUUGUAUUGAGUGGAUAACAAAGAUAACUGCGGGAUAUGGGAGGCUGCUGUUGUUCUUCCCGGAAACCUAAUCUGCAUGGGACACCUGUAUAAUGGUUUUGGUUUGGGAAAACACUUAAAGCUUGGGUUUGGAGAUACGUAGUUAUCAGCAUUAGUUGGCAGAUAAUAUUGUCCCAGUGCAGGUUGCAGUUCGUUGCGAAGGUGUGCUAUCCUUUUUAAUGCCUGGUACAGACUAAAAUUAAUGGUUGCUUUUCAUUACUGUUUUCUUUAGUCUUCGAUCACUAUCACAUAAGGAGCUAUUAAAUUUCAGCUUAAUUAAUGCUUCAAAAAGAGGGGAUGCGUAUGUACCUAGCAUGAAUAAGCCUAAGACUCGGCUUAAGGGCAGUUUAAUUUUAAUGUUGGUGAUAUGAAUACUUGGUGAU
This is a long non-coding RNA of Gossypium raimondii (Peruvian cotton), 656 nucleotides long. RefSeq lists it as uncharacterized. The transcript has 3 exons. Lineage: Eukaryota; Viridiplantae; Streptophyta; Magnoliopsida; Malvales; Malvaceae. The record is from RefSeq and is a predicted model, not a curated record.